RNAcentral lists this long non-coding RNA (407 nucleotides) under Androctonus crassicauda. The record is from RNAcentral. Lineage: Eukaryota; Metazoa; Arthropoda; Arachnida; Scorpiones; Buthidae.
AGCCACGCUCACAAUGACUCACUGUCAGGCCACUGGGCAUGCUCUGUGAAUUAGGAGUAGCUGUGCGACUGUUGGAAUACGUCGCUGACAUUCAAAUCAACAUUUCUGCACCACUUGUUUUCCUCGGCAAUUUGACAGAAAUGCUCAGAAAAAUUAUUCUCAUUAUUUCUGGGACAUAUCUUGUAUAUCAUAUUUUUGAGAUAAAUUUUCAUAUUUUACAUAAAUAUUUUAUACUAAUUAAUAUUUUCCAAAAAAUGAUUUUAAUUCAGAAUUUAAGAAUAUAAAUAUUUUAAAACAAAUUAAUAGAAAUUGAAUUAUAUAAGAUAGUCAUUAUAAAUCAGUGUGUUUAGCUAAUAUAUUUUUGAAUGGAGAUUCAUUAAAAUUUGAAUUUUUCAUGACUAAUGAUC